GACGAACGCUGGCGGCGUGCCUAAUACAUGCAAGUCGAACGAACCGCGACUAGGUGCUUGCACUUGGUCAAGGUGAGUGGCGAACGGGUGAGUAACACGUGGGUAACCUACCUCAUAGUGGGGGAUAACAGUCGGAAACGACUGCUAAUACCGCAUAGGACAUAGGAUCACAUGAUUCUGUGAGGAAAGGUGGCGCAAGCUAUCGCUAAGAGGUGGACCCGCGGUGCAUUAGCUAGUUGGUAGGGUAAAGGCCUACCAAGGCGAUGAUGCAUAGCCGACCUGAGAGGGUGAUCGGCCACAUUGGGACUGAGACACGGCCCAAACUCCUACGGGAGGCAGCAGUAGGGAAUCUUCCGCAAUGGACGCAAGUCUGACGGAGCAACGCCGCGUGAGUGAAGAAGGUCUUCGGAUCGUAAAGCUCUGUUGUUAGAGAAGAACAGCGCAUAGAGUAACUGUUAUGCGUGUGACGGUAUCUAACCAGAAAGCCACGGCUAACUACGUG
RNAcentral lists this ribosomal RNA (502 nucleotides) under uncultured bacterium. RNAcentral's name for it is "partial 16S ribosomal RNA". It matches the Rfam family "Bacterial small subunit ribosomal RNA", at positions 28 to 507 of the family's 1533-position model. The record is from RNAcentral.